Long non-coding RNA from Zalophus californianus (California sea lion), 468 nucleotides. RefSeq lists it as uncharacterized. NCBI's taxonomy places the organism in Eukaryota, Metazoa, Chordata, Mammalia, Carnivora, Otariidae. The transcript has 3 exons. The record is from RefSeq and is a predicted model, not a curated record.
AGCAGAGUGAUGUGUUUGUCCUGGACACAAAUGGGACCUUGCUGGCUCCUCACUGCCUGCUCAACUCCUGUUGGACACUGUCAAGGAAUAGGAAGGAACAAGAUGUGGGGGUUCGAGGAUGUGGUGCUGUCAUUGUUCUGUUUUCGAGAAUCAAGUAAGAAAGCACUCAAUUGUGCAACACAAUGCCAACGUCUGUGGGAAUCUUUCUCCGAGGGCCAGCUCCAAUGCCACCUCCUCCACGAAGCCCUCCAGGAUAUGACCUCAAUUCCUGCGAUUUUCCUUCUUGGAGGGAACCUCUCAUCCUGUCUUGUACGGAAGCUAGUUAUCUGUGCGUCUGUGCACUGAGCAAGCUUUCAACAAAUCAUGGCUGAUUUACGCUGAGUGAUUUGUGGGGACCUGUGUCCCAAGGAGGAGACUCCUAAUCAACGCUAUAGUGGUUACUUGCAGUUGAUGCACAUUUAUCAUUUU